Xiphophorus couchianus (Monterrey platyfish) is the source of this 483-nucleotide long non-coding RNA. RefSeq lists it as uncharacterized. The record is from RefSeq and is a predicted model, not a curated record. The transcript has 3 exons. NCBI's taxonomy places the organism in Eukaryota, Metazoa, Chordata, Actinopteri, Cyprinodontiformes, Poeciliidae.
UUUCUGACAAAUUGCCAUCAGCUCAGAACUUUUCUGAUUCAUUUAAUUAUCUGUAAAAUUGUACAUUAUUUUGGUAAGAAUGAUGUUGAAGGUACAUUUUAAAACAAAUCGAUUUUCCCGUUUUGGAGGGAACUACACAAGUGGAAAAAUUUUGAAGAUCUGCAAAUGGUUGAAGAGUGAUGUUGGAGUUGAUCCAAACAAUCUGUCCCUUCAUCGGACACCAGAUCCUUCAGGCUCUACAUAAUUUGAACCUCCUUCUGAUUUUCUCCUUUCAUCUCCUGCAAAGACAGAAAAGGCUGAGGAGAGGAAGGAAGUGAGGACAGAAAAUUAAGCUUUUUAAGCUAUAAAAUAAUAACAGACAGGCGGCAAUGUGUUCUGUUUCCACUGUUAUUAAGAACAAAACAUUUAUAAAAGUUUUCAUACGUUUAUUAGUAGCUCAUGUAAGUCCUUCACUCCUUCACUCUGCCCACCGUGACUUAAGAU